Molecule: ribosomal RNA, 1435 nt
Filed under: uncultured marine bacterium
Lineage: Bacteria
Description: bacterial SSU rRNA
Rfam family: Bacterial small subunit ribosomal RNA
Source: RNAcentral
GAGUUUGAUCCUGGCUCAGAACGUACGCUGGCGGCACGCCUAACACAUGCAAGUCGAACGAAGUAGCAAUACUUAGUGGCAGACGGGUGAGUAACAUGUAGGUAUCUGCCCUUUGGCCUGGAAUAACACGAGGAAACUUGUGCUAAUACCGGAUAAGUCUUUACGGAGAAAGCUUUAUGCACCAUUGGAUGAGCCUGCACUUGAUUAGUUUGUUGGUGGGGUAAUGGCCUACCAAGACUGUGAUCAAUAGCUGAUUUGAGAGGAUGAUCAGCCACAUUGGGACUGAGACACGGCCCAAACUCCUACGGGAGGCAGCAGUGGGGAAUCUUGCACAAUGGAGGAAACUCUGAUGCAGCGAUGCCGCGUGAGUGAAGAAGGCCCUUGGGUUGUAAAGCUCUUUCGUCGGGGAAGAAAAUGACUGUACCCGAAUAAGAAGGUCCGGCUAACUUCGUGCCAGCAGCCGCGGUAAUACGAAGGGACCUAGCGUAGUUCGGAAUUACUGGGCUUAAAGAGUUCGUAGGUGGUUGAAAAAGUUAGUGGUGAAAUCCCAGAGCUUAACUCUGGAACUGCCAUUAAAACUUUUCAGCUAGAGUAUGAUAGAGGAAAGCAGAAUUUCUAGUGUAGAGGUGAAAUUCGUAGAUAUUAGAAAGAAUACCAAUUGCGAAGGCAGCUUUCUGGAUCAUUACUGACACUGAGGAACGAAAGCAUGGGUAGCGAAGAGGAUUAGAUACCCUCGUAGUCCAUGCCGUAAACGAUGUGUGUUAGACGUUGGAAAUUUAUUUUCAGUGUCGCAGGGAAACCGAUAAACACACCGCCUGGGGAGUACGACCGCAAGGUUAAAACUCAAAUGAAUUGACGGGGACCCGCACAAGUAGUGGAGCAUGUGGUUUAAUUCGAAGAUACGCGCAGAACCUUACCAACACUUGACAUGUUCGUCGCGACUCUAAGAGAUUAGAGUUUUCGGUUCGGCCGGACGAAACACAGGUGCUGCAUGGCUGUCGUCAGCUCGUGUCGUGAGAUGUUGGGUUAAGUCCCGCAACGAGCGCAACCCUCACUUUUAGUUGCCAUCAUUAAGUUGGGCACUCUGAAAGAACUGCCAGUGAUAAGCUGGAGGAAGGUGGGGAUGACGUCAAGUCCUCAUGGCCCUUACGUGUUGGGCUACACACGUGCUACAAUGGUAUCUACAACAGGAAGCAAGACUGCGAAGUUAAGCAAAUCCCUAAAAGAUACCUCAGUUCGGAUUGCACUCUGCAACUCGAGUGCAUGAAGCUGGAAUUACUAGUAAUCGUGGAUCAGCGUGCCACGGUGAAUGCGUUCCCGGGUCUUGUACACACCGCCCGUCACACCAUGGGAGUUGGUUCUACCUUAAGGCAAGGUUUCAAACCCUUGACCACGGUAUAGUCAGCGAAUGGGGUGAAGUCGUAACAAGGUAACC